UAUUCGCCUAUGGCAACAUAAAAUCCUAGAUGAUAUUCCAGUUUACAACAGGUAUUUUUCAUAAGAUGAAUACUAGAUACUGAUUAUUUGUUGAUUUGAGUAUGUAGAAAAUAUUAAUAAAGUGUAUUUAUAUUCCUAUAUAAGGGAAUUGUCUGGUUAUCUUGUUCCCCUAUUCAUGUCCACAUGGGAAGACGAAAGACCACAUUUGCCAUUUUUAAAGGAUGGAUAUGAACUCAGAAAACUAAUUUUGGGCCAAGUGCUAACAUUCAAGGAUAAUGAAUGUGAAGAUAACAUGCCUGCUGGUGUACUGGAAUUCAUCAAUUGUAUUAGGAAAAUCCAAAGUAAAACUGGGAGCUCAAUCAGUGGAAGGUGAUUUGCCAGAGAGAUUUCUUGCAGCCAACGGUUAAUAGGGAAUGAGCAGGGAGACAAUGAGCAUGUAGAGCUGGAUUUUUUUACCUUUGAGAAAUUAAUACUGGAUUUUGGUUUGUACUUAAAAUAUCACUUAUAUAUAUGUAGUAAACUUUUGGAGCUUGCCAUGAUAUACAUUUUUUAGGACUGCCAAUUAUAAGAGAUGAUGGAUUGCUUUCAAA
Aegilops tauschii subsp. strangulata is the source of this 590-nucleotide non-coding RNA. The record is from RefSeq and is a predicted model, not a curated record. NCBI's taxonomy places the organism in Eukaryota, Viridiplantae, Streptophyta, Magnoliopsida, Poales, Poaceae.